This 326-nucleotide ribosomal RNA is filed under the name Proasellus walteri. RNAcentral's name for it is "partial 16S ribosomal RNA". It matches the Rfam family "Bacterial large subunit ribosomal RNA", at positions 1936 to 2500 of the family's 2925-position model. The record is from RNAcentral. Lineage: Eukaryota; Metazoa; Arthropoda; Malacostraca; Isopoda; Asellidae.
GUAUCUUGACUGUGCAAAGGUAGCAUAAUCACUUGCUUCUUAAUUAGGAGCUGGAAUGAAAGAGGCGACGAAAUCUAGACUAUUUAAGUUUUAAUAUAAAUUGACAGGCGGGUCAAAAGGCCCGCAUACACCAGGGGGACGAUAAGACCCUAUAAAACUUUACUUUCGGGCCGACGCCCUGCGGGAGGGAGAGUGUCUGAGAGUUUGACUGGGGCGGUUAUUAUAGAAACAAUUAUAGAUAAAAUAUAUUAUAUAGACGGGUAGAACUCUCUAGAGAAAUAGAACAAGUUACUUUAGGGAUAACAGCGCGAUCCCCUCAGAGAGUC